GCUCCCGAUAAACUGUCUCUUCCUACCUACUUAUUCCUUUGCCUUUCCCAUAGCUCUCCACGUCAAUCAUAAUCAUAACGAGUCAUAAGAAGGAUUGUACUUUCGAUGAUGAAUCAACGACACUAACUUACACUCAUAUUCAUAUUGCUCCCCAAAACCUCCAAAUGUCAAAUCUCCUUGCUCGCAGUCUUUGAUUCUCGAUCUGAAACAUAAAGCUACCAGAAUCAUCACCAAUCAUCCCGAAUUCAAGAAAAUAGAAAUCUGCAAAGCCCUAAUCCGCACGAAGAACCAUGAUUACGCUACAACAAUCAUAACCUAAAAAUGCAUUCCACUCACUGCAGGUUCCAGAUUAGAAAAAAACUCGCAAAUAAACUGAAAAAUCGAAAUAAAAGGACGGGUGCGUUAUACCUGCGCGACUCGAGCAAGAAACCAAGCAAGCCUUUCAAAGCGAGCAAAGGCAUCAUAGUCGAGGGAAGAGAUCUCCUUGUGGGAGUAACGAUCUGACAUCGAUCUAUAAUUCCGGUGUGUGUGUGUGUGAGAGAGAGAGAGAGAGAGAGAGAGUGGAGAAACAAAU
This 574-nucleotide long non-coding RNA is filed under the name Musa acuminata (dwarf banana). RNAcentral describes it as "long non-coding RNA (MACU_LNC008564)". The record is from RNAcentral. Lineage: Eukaryota; Viridiplantae; Streptophyta; Magnoliopsida; Zingiberales; Musaceae.